RNAcentral lists this ribosomal RNA (328 nucleotides) under uncultured cyanobacterium. Its description in RNAcentral is "partial 16S ribosomal RNA". Lineage: Bacteria; Bacillati; Cyanobacteriota. The record is from RNAcentral.
GGAGUAUGGGCCGUGUCUCAGUCCCAUUGUGGCUGAUCAUCCUCUCAAACCAGCUACUGAUCGUCGCCUUGGUGGUCCAUUACACCCCCAACUAGCUAAUCAGAUGCAGACUCAUCCCAGAGCACCGGAGUUUUCACGAAUAGCUUCUCAGCUACGCGCAUAUGCGGUAUUAGCAGUCGUUUCCAACUGUUGUCCCCCACUCUAGGGCAGAUUCUCUACACAUUACUCACCCGUCCGCCACUGUCUAUUACCCGAAGGUAACUUCUCGUUCGACUUGCAUGUAUGAAGCACGCCGCCAGCGUUCGUCCUGAGCCGAUGAUCAAACUCU